This 58-nucleotide transfer RNA is filed under the name Loxodonta africana (African savanna elephant). Lineage: Eukaryota; Metazoa; Chordata; Mammalia; Proboscidea; Elephantidae. The record is from Rfam by way of RNAcentral.
UGGCACAAUGGUUAAAGUGCUCAGCUGCGAACUGAAAGAUUGGUGGUUCGAACCCACC